This 557-nucleotide ribosomal RNA is filed under the name uncultured bacterium. RNAcentral describes it as "bacterial SSU rRNA". It matches the Rfam family "Bacterial small subunit ribosomal RNA", at positions 102 to 694 of the family's 1533-position model. The record is from RNAcentral.
ACGGGUGAGUAACGCGUGGGAAUCUACCGUGCCCUGCGGAAUAGCUCCGGGAAACUGGAAUUAAUACCGCAUACGCCCUACGGGGGAAAGAUUUAUCGGGGUAUGAUGAGCCCGCGUUGGAUUAGCUAGUUGGUGGGGUAAAGGCCUACCAAGGCGACGAUCCAUAGCUGGUCUGAGAGGAUGAUCAGCCACAUUGGGACUGAGACACGGUCCAAACCUCUACGGGAGGCAGCAGUGGGGAAUAUUGGACAAUGGGCGCAAACCUGAUCCAGCCAUGCCGCGUGAGUGAUGAAGGCCUUAGGGUUGUAAAGCUCUUUCACCGGAGAAGAUAAUGACGGUAUCCGGAGAAGAAGCCCCGGCUAACUUCGUGCCAGCAGCCGCGGUAAUACGAAGGGGGCUAGCGUUGUUCGGAAUUACUGGGCGUAAAGCGCACGUAGGCGGAUAUUUAAGUCAGGGGUGAAAUCCCAGAGCUCAACUCUGGAACUGCCUUUGAUACUGGGUAUCUUGAGUAUGGAAGAGGUAAGUGGAAUUCCGAGUGUAGAGGUGAAAUUCGUAGA